Molecule: ribosomal RNA, 253 nt
Filed under: uncultured bacterium
Lineage: Bacteria
Description: partial 16S ribosomal RNA
Rfam family: Bacterial small subunit ribosomal RNA
Source: RNAcentral
UACGUAGGGUGCAAGCGUUGUCCGGAAUUAUUGGGCGUAAAGAGCUCGUAGGCGGUUUGUCGCGUCUGCUGUGAAAACGCGAGGCUCAACCUCGCGCCUGCAGUGGGUACGGGCAGACUAGAGUGCGGUAGGGGAGAUUGGAAUUCCUGGUGUAGCGGUGGAAUGCGCAGAUAUCAGGAGGAACACCGGUGGCGAAGGCGGCGUCCUGGACCAACACUGACACUGAUGAGCGAAAGCCAGGGGAGCAAACGGG